UCUGUAUGGGUAUAAUAUAAAGUCUAGCCUGCCCACUGAUGUAUUUUAAAGGGCCGCGGUAAUUUGACCGUGCGAAGGUAGCAUAAUCAAUAGCUUUUUAAUUGGGAGCUUGAAUGAAUGGCUGGACAAGAAAUUAACUGUCUCUAUUGAAGUUGUUGAAUUUUACUUUUAAGUGAAAAGGCUUAAAUGAAUUUAAGGGACGAUAAGACCCUAUAAAACUUUAUAGAUAGAGUUUUGUUUUUGAAUUAUGUAAUUAAAGUGAAUUAAGGUUAGUCUAUUAUGUUGGGGUGACAGGAAUAUAAUUUUAACUGUUUUUAAAAAAAAAUAAUUAUUUUUAGUGUUUGGUGAUCCUUUAUUAAGGAUUAUAAGAUAAAGUUACUUUAGGGAUAACAGCGUAAUUUUUUCUGAGAGUUCUUAUCGACGAAAGUAUUUGCGACCUCGAUGUUGAAUUAAGAUUUCUUUAGUAUGCAGAAGUACUAAUAGUAGGUCUGUUCGACCUUUGAAAUC
This 507-nucleotide ribosomal RNA is filed under the name Bathypalaemonella serratipalma. Its description in RNAcentral is "partial 16S ribosomal RNA". It matches the Rfam family "Bacterial large subunit ribosomal RNA", at positions 1830 to 2595 of the family's 2925-position model. Lineage: Eukaryota; Metazoa; Arthropoda; Malacostraca; Decapoda; Bathypalaemonellidae. The record is from RNAcentral.